GACGAACGCUGGCGGCGUGCCUAAUACAUGCAAGUAGAACGCUGAAGGAGGAGCUUGCUUCUCUGGAUGAGUUGCGAACGGGUGAGUAACGCGUAGGUAACCUGCCUGGUAGCGGGGGAUAACUAUUGGAAACGAUAGCUAAUACCGCAUGACAACAGUUAUUGCAUGAUAACUGUUUAAAAGGGGCAACUGCUCCACUACCAGAUGGACCUGCGUUGUAUUAGCUAGUUGGUGAGGUAACGGCUCACCAAGGCGACGAUACAUAGCCGACCUGAGAGGGUGAUCGGCCACACUGGGACUGAGACACGGCCCAGACUCCUACGGGAGGCAGCAGUAGGGAAUCUUCGGCAAUGGACGGAAGUCUGACCGAGCAACGCCGCGUGAGUGAAGAAGGUUUUCGGAUCGUAAAGCUCUGUUGUAAGAGAAGAACGAGUGUGAGAGUGGAAAGUUCACACUGUGACG
Molecule: ribosomal RNA, 462 nt
Filed under: Streptococcus sp. oral taxon 074
Lineage: Bacteria; Bacillati; Bacillota; Bacilli; Lactobacillales; Streptococcaceae
Description: bacterial SSU rRNA
Rfam family: Bacterial small subunit ribosomal RNA
Source: RNAcentral